CAGGAUUAGAUACCNUGGUAGUCCACGCCCUAAACGAUGUCGAUUAGCUGUUGGGGCACUUGAUGCCUUAGUAGCGUAGCUAACGCGUGAAAUCGACCGCCUGGGGAGUACGGUCGCAAGAUUAAAACUCAAAGGAAUUGACGGGGACCCGCACAAGCGGUGGAUGAUGUGGAUUAAUUCGAUGCAACGCGAAGAACCUUACCUGGUCUUGACAUGUACGGAACCUUCCAGAGACGGAAGGGUGCCUUCGGGAGCCGUAACACAGGUGCUGCAUGGCUGUCGUCAGCUCGUGUCGUGAGAUGUUGGGUUAAGUCCCGCAACGAGCGCAACCCUUGUCAUUAGUUGCCAUCAUUUGGUUGGGCACUCUAAUGAGACUGCCGGUGACAAACCGGAGGAAGGUGGGGAUGACGUCAAGUCCUCAUGGCCCUUAUGACCAGGGCUUCACACGUCAUACAAUGGUCGGUACAGAGGGUAGCCAAGCCGCGAGGCGGAGCCAAUCCCAGAAAACCGAUCGUGGUCCGGAUUGCACUCUGCAACUCGAGUGCAUGAAGUCGGAAUCGCUAGUAAUCGCAGGUCAGCAUACUGCGGUGAAUACGUUCCCGGGUCUUGUACACACCGCCCGUCACACCAUGGGAGUGGGGGAUACCAGAAGCAGGUA
This 658-nucleotide ribosomal RNA is filed under the name uncultured bacterium. RNAcentral's name for it is "bacterial SSU rRNA". It matches the Rfam family "Bacterial small subunit ribosomal RNA", at positions 773 to 1432 of the family's 1533-position model. The record is from RNAcentral.